This 460-nucleotide ribosomal RNA is filed under the name uncultured bacterium. RNAcentral's name for it is "partial 16S ribosomal RNA". It matches the Rfam family "Bacterial small subunit ribosomal RNA", at positions 338 to 795 of the family's 1533-position model. The record is from RNAcentral.
CCUACGGGAGGCAGCAGUGAGGAAUAUUGGUCAAUGGACGAGAGUCUGAACCAGCCAAGUAGCGUGAAGGAUGACUGCCCUAUGGGUUGUAAACUUCUUUUAUAUGGGAAUAAAACGUUCCACGUGUGGGAUUUUGUAUGUACCAUAUGAAUAAGGAUCGGCUAACUCCGUGCCAGCAGCCGCGGUAAUACGGAGGAUCCGAGCGUUAUCCGGAUUUAUUGGGUUUAAAGGGAGCGUAGGUGGAUUGUUAAGUCAGUUGUGAAAGUUUGCGGCUCAACCGUAAAAUUGCAGUUGAAACUGGCAGUCUUGAGUACAGUAGAGGUGGGCGGAAUUCGUGGUGUAGCGGUGAAAUGCUUAGAUAUCAUGAAGAACUCCGAUUGCGAAGGCAGUUCACUGGACUGCAACUGACACUGAGGCUCGAAAGUGUGGGUAUCAAACAGGAUUAGAUACCCCUGUAGUC